GUGGAUCAGAAUGCCACGGUGAAUACGUUCCCGGGCCUUGUACACACCGCCCGUCACACCAUGGGAGUGGGUUGCAAAAGAAGUAGGUAGCUUAACCUUCGGGAGGGCGCUUACCACUUUGUGAUUCAUGACUGGGGUGAAGUCGUAACAAGGUAACCGUAGGGGAACCUGCGGUUGGAUCACCUCCUUA
RNAcentral lists this ribosomal RNA (190 nucleotides) under Escherichia coli. Its description in RNAcentral is "partial 16S ribosomal RNA". It matches the Rfam family "Bacterial small subunit ribosomal RNA", at positions 1344 to 1533 of the family's 1533-position model. The record is from RNAcentral. RNAcentral also lists the same sequence under 6 other names. Lineage: Bacteria; Pseudomonadati; Pseudomonadota; Gammaproteobacteria; Enterobacterales; Enterobacteriaceae.